UACGAAGGGGGCUAGCGUUGCUCGGAAUCACUGGGCGUAAAGCGCACGUAGGCGGGUCUUUAAGUCGGAGGUGAAAUCCUGGAGCUCAACUCCAGAACUGCCUUCGAUACUGAGGAUCUCGAGUCCGGGAGAGGUGAGUGGAACUGCGAGUGUAGAGGUGAAAUUCGUAGAUAUUCGCAAGAACACCAGUGGCGAAGGCGGCUCACUGGCCCGGUACUGACGCUGAGGUGCGAAAGCGUGGGGAGCAAACAGG
This 253-nucleotide ribosomal RNA is filed under the name uncultured bacterium. RNAcentral's name for it is "partial 16S ribosomal RNA". It matches the Rfam family "Bacterial small subunit ribosomal RNA", at positions 524 to 776 of the family's 1533-position model. The record is from RNAcentral.